UACGUAGGGGGCGAGCGUUGUCCGGAUUUAUUGGGCGUAAAGGGUGCGUAGGCUGCGGGGUAAGUCUGAUGUGAAAUCCCGGGGCUCAACCCCGGAACUGCAUUGGAUACUGCCUUGCUAGAGCACUGGAGAGGAGACUGGAAUUUACGGUGUAGCAGUGAAAUGCGUAGAGAUCGUAAGGAAGACCAGUGGCGAAGGCGAGUCUCUGGACAGUUGCUGACGCUGAGGCACGAAGGCCAGGGGAGCAAACGGG
Molecule: ribosomal RNA, 253 nt
Filed under: uncultured prokaryote
Description: partial 16S ribosomal RNA
Rfam family: Bacterial small subunit ribosomal RNA
Source: RNAcentral